RNAcentral lists this ribosomal RNA (387 nucleotides) under uncultured bacterium. Its description in RNAcentral is "bacterial SSU rRNA". It matches the Rfam family "Bacterial small subunit ribosomal RNA", at positions 28 to 417 of the family's 1533-position model. The record is from RNAcentral.
GACGAACGCUGGCGGCGUGCUUAAUACAUGCAAGUCGAGCGGUAAGGCCCUUUCGGGGGUACACGAGCGGCGAACGGGUGAGUAACACGUGGGUGACCUGCCUUUAGCUCUGGGAUAAGCCUGGGAAACUGGGUCUAAUACCGGAUAUGACUCCGCGGUGCAUGCUGUGGGGUGAAAGCCUUGUGCGGCUGGAGAUGGGCCCGCGGCCUAUCAGCUUGUUGGUGGGGUGAUGGCCUACCAAGGCGACGACGGGUAGCCGGCCUGAGAGGGCGACCGGCCACACUGGGACUGAGACACGGCCCAGACUCCUACGGGAGGCAGCAGUGGGGAAUCUUGCGCAAUGGGCGAAAGCCUGACGCAGCGACGCCGCGUGAGGGAUGACGGCCU